Molecule: transfer RNA, 75 nt
Filed under: Bacteroidetes bacterium SW_9_63_38
Lineage: Bacteria; Pseudomonadati; Bacteroidota
Description: tRNA-Met
Rfam family: tRNA
About the family: Transfer RNA (tRNA) molecules are approximately 80 nucleotides in length.
Source: RNAcentral
CGCGGCGUGGAGCAGUGGUAGCUCGUCAGGCUCAUAUCCUGAAGGUCGCAGGUUCGAAUCCUGCCGCCGCUACCA